AACGAACGCUGGCGGCAGGCCUAACACAUGCAAGUCGAGCGGUAAGGCCCUUUCGGGGGUACACGAGCGGCGAACGGGUGAGUAACACGUGGGUGACCUGCCCUCAGCUCUGGGAUAAGCCCGGGAAACUGGGUCUAAUACCGGAUAUGACUUCAUGACGCAUGUUGUGGAGUGGAAAGCCUUGUGCGGCUGAGGAUGGGCCCGCGGCCUAUCAGCUUGUUGGUGGGGUGAUGGCCUACCAAGGCGACGACGGGUAGCCGGCCUGAGAGGGCGACCGGCCACACUGGGACUGAGAUACGGCCCAGACUCCUACGGGAGGCAGCAGUGGGGAAUCUUGCGCAAUGGGCGAAAGCCUGACGCAGCGACGCCGCGUGAGGGAUGACGGCCU
This 388-nucleotide ribosomal RNA is filed under the name uncultured bacterium. RNAcentral describes it as "bacterial SSU rRNA". It matches the Rfam family "Bacterial small subunit ribosomal RNA", at positions 28 to 417 of the family's 1533-position model. The record is from RNAcentral.